GACGAACGCUGGCGGCGUGCUUAACACAUGCAAGUCGAACGGAAAGGCCCUGCUUGCAGGGUACUCGAGUGGCGAACGGGUGAGUAACACGUGGGUGAUCUGCCCUGCACUUCGGGAUAAGCCUGGGAAACUGGGUCUAAUACCGGAUAGGAGCCAUUUUUAGUGUGAUGGUUGGAAAGUUUUUUCGGUGUAGGAUGAGCUCGCGGCCUAUCAGCUUGUUGGUGGGGUAAUGGCCUACCAAGGCGGCGACGGGUAGCCGGCCUGAGAGGGUGGACGGACACAUUGGGACUGAGAGACGGCCCAGACUCCGACGGGAGGCAGCAGUGGGGAAUAUUGCACAAUGGGCGCAAGCCUGAUGCAGCGACGCCGCGGGGGUGAUGACGGCCUUCGGGUUGUAAACUCCUUUCGCUAGGGACGAAGCUUUUUGUGACGGUACCUAGAUAAGAAGCACCGGCUAACUACGUG
Molecule: ribosomal RNA, 465 nt
Filed under: uncultured bacterium
Lineage: Bacteria
Description: partial 16S ribosomal RNA
Rfam family: Bacterial small subunit ribosomal RNA
Source: RNAcentral